This 249-nucleotide long non-coding RNA is filed under the name Setaria viridis. Its description in RNAcentral is "long non-coding RNA (SVIR_LNC004856)". Lineage: Eukaryota; Viridiplantae; Streptophyta; Magnoliopsida; Poales; Poaceae. The record is from RNAcentral.
UGUUGUUGGCGGAUGCGUCGCUCUUGCUCGAGCCGAGCAAGACGUGCCGCUUCUUGAGCCUCUUCCAGCCUAGCAUAGUAUUAGGCUUUGGUCUCUAGCACCACUGGAUUAUGCCCACCUCCCCUAAAGGCAUAGUGUCGAUCCAUUCCAAAAUGUGCAAGUCUGCAUGUUGAUUCAUGAUUAGUUCUAGGUACCGGUACGUAGAAAACAUAUUUAAAAUGUUUAUGAACAGAUGGACCUUGAAAUCAU